GGGGGUGAUCGGUUUCGACUUCGAUCGCCGUGUCAGGGGAAGCGAGCCGAGGGUUGCGACGUAACCUCGUAAAUCCUGCCUCGCAAUAAACACAAGUGCCAAUUCCAAGCGCACUGAGCUCGCUCUCGCCGCUUAAGCGAUAGCGACUCUGUCGGCCUGGGCUCGUCCUCGGCCCAGUGUCCGGCAUCGUCUAGAGGACUUACCGCUUAGACCAGGCCACGGGGUCUGAGCGGGACAUUCACGUGGCUGGGCUCGUCAGCGACUCGUUCGCGGGAGCGCUGGAGCCGAGUAGAACGCCAACGCGAACUGUGCUCGGAGAAGCCCUGGCUCGUCAUCGAAGGACGCGGGUUCGAUUCCCGCCACCUCCACGA
Non-coding RNA from Streptomonospora alba, 371 nucleotides. It matches the Rfam family "transfer-messenger RNA". Rfam says of the family: Bacterial tmRNA, also known as 10Sa RNA or SsrA, is named for its dual tRNA and mRNA-like properties. The record is from Rfam. NCBI's taxonomy places the organism in Bacteria, Bacillati, Actinomycetota, Actinomycetes, Streptosporangiales, Nocardiopsidaceae.